GCAGGAAGCGCCUUAGUCUGUGUGUGCCUGUAUCGGAGAGUGUAACCCGCCUCAGAAUUUGCCCAGAAGCUUUUCCUUCCUGCGUGGCCCUGCCCUGCAUUUGGCUGCAGUCUGCCCCGGGCUGCCUCCGGCCGAGCUGUAUGGCUCACCUGCCCUGGGUUCGGGUUUUCCGUCUCCUUUUGCUACUGACCUUCACGCCGUCUUCCCCGGGAUUCCCUCUGUCUGCAGUGAUAUCGUAGCUGCUGCCCUCUCCCACAGCCUGCUCGCUGCCCCUGACCUCCGGUUCUGGCCCGACUCCGAAUCUCCUCUGACUAGUUUAAAGAAUUAUUUACAUACACUAAUACUGCAUUGGAUUUAAGUCGAGUACUGUCUUUUUUAAUUUGUUUAUUUUUUCCUAGUUAAUCAUUCAUACUGUCUCAUGUCAUCUCGGAAUUCUCUGGAACUGGAGUUAAUCCUGUGCUUACGACUGGUGGUUCUUCCAUUAAGCUGAAUUUGCAAUGUACCAUCUGUUAAAGGCUUGCAGGUACACUUACCUUUAUUUAUGUGCAUAGUUCCAUUUAAGUCAAUAGGACUACUUCCAGUACAUCAAAUUAAAAUGUUGCCCCACAGAUGGCUGCAUUUGCACAAAAAGCAUAGCAGAAGAUUGAUGUGGCAGCAGAAAAAAAGUGGCAUAGAGAAGGAAGAGAACUGUCUAGAUCAAUUUUGUUGCUGGAGAAAAUGUAGUAUGGAAAUGCAUUCUGACUUGCAACUAAAGAAGAAAGGAUAAAAGCCUUUAAUGAAUUGAAA
This is a long non-coding RNA of Lepidothrix coronata (blue-crowned manakin), 786 nucleotides long. RefSeq lists it as uncharacterized. Lineage: Eukaryota; Metazoa; Chordata; Aves; Passeriformes; Pipridae. The transcript is spliced from 4 exons. The record is from RefSeq and is a predicted model, not a curated record.